Molecule: ribosomal RNA, 253 nt
Filed under: uncultured bacterium
Lineage: Bacteria
Description: partial 16S ribosomal RNA
Rfam family: Bacterial small subunit ribosomal RNA
Source: RNAcentral
UACAGAGGGUGCGAACGUUGCUCGGAAUUACUGGGCGUAAAGCGCAUGUAGGCGGAUCCAUAAGUCGGGCGUGAAAUCCCCAGGCUCAACCUGGGAACUGCGUUUGUGACUGCAAGGCUUGAGUAUCGGAGAGGUUGGCGGAAUUCCCAGUGUAGCAGUGAAAUGCGCAGAUAUUGGGAGGAACACCGAUGGCGUAAGCAGCCAACUGGACGAUUACUGACGCUGAGAUACGAAAGUAUGGGGAGCAAACAGG